RNAcentral lists this unclassified non-coding RNA (233 nucleotides) under Hevea brasiliensis (rubber tree). Lineage: Eukaryota; Viridiplantae; Streptophyta; Magnoliopsida; Malpighiales; Euphorbiaceae. The record is from RNAcentral.
GGACCAUUCUAGCAUUUGUGUUGCUCUAUUUUUUGCAGCUGUCUGGAACUCGUAAAUCACCUUAAGAUUGUGGAUAUGUGAAUGAUCUUUAAAAUAUGGCUAAAUAAAGAUGCCGGCCACUGUAAAAGGAUAUUCACUAGUUUUAGUAGCUAAACUGGUUCUCGUCUUUAUUCUAGCGUCCAACUUUUUUCACUCAGUUCGACUGUGCUUAUGAGAACGUGAUUGAUACUUAA